Molecule: long non-coding RNA, 1142 nt
Organism: Carassius auratus (goldfish)
Lineage: Eukaryota; Metazoa; Chordata; Actinopteri; Cypriniformes; Cyprinidae
Exons: 3
Source: RefSeq, a predicted model, not a curated record
UUUUUUGUCACAUAAAGUUUGAAAUUUUCAAAUGUUGGAUGUUGUUUUCCAGAAUGACAUGAACCAAUUUGAAAGGUUUCUUGGCAGAAAAUCUUGAAGAAAGAGAUAAAAAUUAAACAUCUCCAUGACAUGGUGCCAGUGGCAACAGCGAGAAUAAAAGGUUUCAGCAUCCAGCCAAAUUUUCCAUCAGUUUACAUAUGCAUAUUGUUGUGUAAACAGAAGUAAGCAGUCCAGAGCACUCGUCCUAGAGAAGGAGUUACAUAGAGACUAUGAUGAAAACAGAACCUAUAGUUAAUUUUGAACUCACAAAGGGCCCCAUGGGGAACAGCGUAAAUGCUACUAGCCUUUUCUCUUAGUUUUCUCAUGUAGUUGUCUCUGUUAUAGAUUGUUUGCCAUUUUGAAAAAUGUGCAACCGUGUCUUUUGCCAUUUUUUACAUCUUUGCAUAAGGUACCACCAAUGCUAUAUAUACUCAGUUGGAUAUGCUUAUACUCACUACAUGAAACUUUUGCUUUUAUAAACAUUUUUAGACAUGUAUGUAGGCAGUUUGUUUGUGUCAUAUUCAUGCCUGUCAGCUUUAGUUGUGUGUGAUUAACCUUUGUUGAUCAUUACUGCUUGAUGCACACAAGUAAGAUAAUGCUACUACUUCACAAAUUUACUUGUAAAAAAAAAAAAAGCAGUCACAUUGUUAAUGAUUAAUUGUAUGGCAGGUGAAGUAGUACUGUAUCACUGAUGAAGACAGCUAGAGAUGCUAUUUGGUGCAGUUUACUUUCUUUAUUUUUCUCUAUGCUGAAAUAUUUUCUUUUCAUCUUUCUACAUUUCCCUAGAAAGCGAAAAGGUGUUGACAUGCUAUUCCGAAAUGUUACAAAUGUAAAAUGAUACAUUAGGCAACAUAUGGGGAUCAGUGUUUUUGAACAAAUUGAUUUAUUGAAUGAUUUAGUGGCUCACUCAAAAAGACAGUCGCUUGUUUAAUUUUGUUGCUUAAUGAAUCCAUGUUUUGAACAAUUUAUUUGAGUGUAUAAAGCAAUGACUCAUUCUUAAAGACAGCAACUUCUUUUGUCAAUGAAUAAAAUAUUUUUUUAACAAAUCAGUUGAGUGAAUGAUGCAAAUGAUUCAUAAAGACGGUCUCUCGUAUCAGUAAUGU